GUUCAGUAAUAUCAAUAGGAAUACCUUGUGAGCAUGUGACUAUGGCUGACAUGACAUAAAAGGGUAAGACAUUGAAGAAAAGCGUGAAACAUUGGGGAGGGGUAGGAGCAUUGAUGUCGUUCAUGUGCACUUCAGAACAGAGAAAGGGUCAAUUCAGAGAAUGCAUCAAUAGGGUUUAUUAAAGUAAGGAGAUCAUGGACUAAUUAGCCAAGAGUCUUGUUAGUCAAACUAAGCAAAAGAUCAAAGAAAGGACCUUUUUCUGCAUAGCUUCCAGAAUAGAAAUACAAAGGAGUGUUGCUUCCGAAUUCAAGUCGUGCCCAACGCAUACAAUUGGUGUGCCCGCGCUUACGAGGCAUUUUUCACAUGGUUGAUUGGCUGGUGAAGCAGCGUGGUUUUUGUGGUUAGCCAGCUGGCCUACCCAACUAAACAUUAUUGAAUUUUUAGAGUGAAAAUGGGUCAAACCUUGAGACCUCUUACAACUAUAAAUAAAGGUGUUUGGUCUUUGUAAAUUGGCAUUUUUGAGCUUAAUGAAUUGCUGCAGAUUUGACUUCUCUCA
This is a long non-coding RNA of Vigna angularis (adzuki bean), 556 nucleotides long. RefSeq lists it as uncharacterized. The transcript has 2 exons. The record is from RefSeq and is a predicted model, not a curated record. NCBI's taxonomy places the organism in Eukaryota, Viridiplantae, Streptophyta, Magnoliopsida, Fabales, Fabaceae.